AAAGAACGAUUCACCCUCCUUUUGGCGCAUCGGCCGUUGGAUCGCGAAUUGGUUGCUUCGAGAUCUGCGCAUAUGGAUGGAUGCCUUUUGCAUUGCUUUGAGAUCUAUGCGGAGCGAGAUCCGACGGGCGACGUCGCGAAAGAAGAUCGAUCAUUUUUCGAGCGAAAGAUACAUCCAUUUCCUAAGUUGCCGUGUAAGAUACGAGGCG
Molecule: long non-coding RNA, 208 nt
Filed under: Elaeis guineensis (African oil palm)
Lineage: Eukaryota; Viridiplantae; Streptophyta; Magnoliopsida; Arecales; Arecaceae
Description: long non-coding RNA (EGUI_LNC015543)
Source: RNAcentral